Molecule: ribosomal RNA, 455 nt
Filed under: uncultured bacterium
Lineage: Bacteria
Description: bacterial SSU rRNA
Rfam family: Bacterial small subunit ribosomal RNA
Source: RNAcentral
UACGGAAGGCAGCAGUGGGGAAUAUUGCACAAUGGGCGCAAGCCUGAUGCAGCCAUGCCGCGUGUAUGAAGAAGGCCUUCGGGUUGUAAAGUACUUUCAGUCGUGAGGAAGGUGUUAAGGUUAAUAACCUUAGCAAUUGACGUUAGCGACAGAAGAAGCACCGGCUAACUCCGUGCCAGCAGCCGCGGUAAUACGGAGGGUGCGAGCGUUAAUCGGAAUUACUGGGCGUAAAGGGCACGCAGGCGGUUAAUUAAAGUUGGAUGUGAAAUCCCCGGGCUUAACCUGGGAAUGGCAUUCAAGACUGGUUAGCUAGAGUCUUGUAGAGGGGGUAGAAUUCCAUGUGUAGCGGUGAAAUGCGUAGAGAUGUGGAGGAAUACCGGUGGCGAAGGCGGCCCCUGGGACAAAGACUGACGCUCAUGUGCGAAAGCGUGGGGAGCGAAACAGGAUUAGAUACC